GAAAACCUCCUUCGCUAAUAAGAGGUCCAACAGAACAUGCAAUGGCUAAAUUCUAAGAGAGAGAGAGAGAGAUAAGUUUACUGACCCUAGAUUCCAUAAAAUGGAGACAAAAGUUCAGAGGCUUGAUCUUAAAAGGAGAUUAAGCCUGGAAAAGAGCAAAACAUCAAGAGGCUAAAAGCAAGGAUGGCUGCAGAUUUCUCCUUUCCCCUGAAGUA
Molecule: unclassified non-coding RNA, 215 nt
Filed under: Hevea brasiliensis (rubber tree)
Lineage: Eukaryota; Viridiplantae; Streptophyta; Magnoliopsida; Malpighiales; Euphorbiaceae
Source: RNAcentral